Molecule: long non-coding RNA, 7968 nt
Filed under: Daucus carota (carrot)
Lineage: Eukaryota; Viridiplantae; Streptophyta; Magnoliopsida; Apiales; Apiaceae
Description: long non-coding RNA (DCAR_LNC000941)
Source: RNAcentral
CAACCACCAUACACACACCCUCUACAUUGAUAGAUAGCUCAUUUUCCGUCCGACUACUUUCGAGCCCGCUCUUACUCUCACGCCGGAGGCGCCUCGGGGUCCAAACCCCCCUCCGGCGUUGUUUUGCAGGCACCCAUCCAGCAGCUACACCGCAAGACGACGGAGCAAGGCGGAGAAAGGGCCGGAACGGGAUCUGGCGUUAUCAUUUGGCGCUAGAAGGAGGGCUGGUGUAUCUCCGUCCUGUGGUCACGGUGCCACUGGACUCAUCUUCAUCAGCAAGCUCCCGACAAGGGAGUCCCGUUUCAUCUCUGUAAGCUUCAACAAACUCCAACCUUUAAGACACCAUCUUAGCCAUGGCUAUUCUGUUGUGUGCACGUUAGCAAACCCCACCCACAAGAAGGACAAAAUUUGUCUCUAGUAAAUUAAGCACUUUGUCUGGUAGCAUCUUAUACUUCUUGGCACAUAGCCAUUUCAAGCAUUCCCCAAAGUAGUAAGUUGACUGUCUGUCUAUACUACUUAUGUCAUUCUGUUACUACCCAUAUUGCACACAUACACUUUCACCAAAAAAGCAAUCAUAAACUUUCAAACUGAGAAUUCUCCAAGCAACCAAUCCGGAUUCAAUCAUUUAUUCAUUACUUGAAUUAUUUUUUCAAGGAGAGAAUUCUCCAAGCAACCAAUCCGGAUAUAAGCAACCAAUCCGGAUUCAAUCAUUUAUUUAUUACUUGAAUUAUUUUUUCAAGGAGAGAAUUCUCCAAGCAACCAAUCCGGAUAUAAGCAACCAAUCCGGAUUCAAUCAUUUAUUUAUUACUUGAAUUAUUUUUUCAAGGAGAGAAUUCUCCAAGCAACCAAUCCGGAUAUAAGCAAACAAUCCGGAUCCAACCAUUUAUUCACUACUUGAAACAUUUUUUCAAUCCAAGCAACCAAUCCGGAUUCAAUCAUUUAUUUAUUACUUGAAUUAUUUUUUCAAGGAGAGAAUUCUCCAAGCAACUAAUCCGGAUAUAAGCAAACAAUCCGGAUCCAACCAUUUAUUCACUACUUGAAACAUUUUUUCAAGCCAAGCAACCAAUCCGGACUCAAUCAUUUAUUUACUACUUGAAUCAUUUUUUCAAGCCAAGCAACCAAUCCGGACUCAACCAUUUAUUUACUACUUGAAUCAUUUUUUCAAGCCAAGCAACCAAUCCGGAUCCAACCAUUUAUUCACUACUUGAAACAUUUUUUCAAGCCAAGCAACCAAUCCGGACUCAACCAUUUAUUUACUACUUGAAUCAUUUUUUCAAGCCAAGCAACCAAUCCGGAUCCAACCAUUUAUUCACUACUUGAAUCAUUUUUUCAAGCCAAGCAACCAAUCCGGAUCCAACCAUUUAUUUACUACUUGAAUCAUUUUUUCAAGCCAAGCAACCAAUCCGGAUCCAACCAUUUAUUCACUACUUGAAACAUUUUUUCAAGCCAAGCAACCAAUCCGGACUCAACCAUUUAUUUACUACUUGAAUCAUUUUUUCAAGCCAAGCAACCAAUCCGGAUCCAACCAUUUAUUCACUACUUGAAACAUUUUUUCAAGCCAAGCAACCAAUCCGGAUCCAACCAUAUAUUCACUACUUGAAACAUUUUUUUUCAAGCCAAGCAACCAAUCCGGACUCAACCAUUUAUUUACUACUUGAAUCAUUUUUUCAAGCCAAGCAACCAAUCCGGAUCCAACCAUUUAUUCACUACUUGAAUCAUUUUUUCAAGCCAAGCAACCAAUCCGGACUCAACCAUUUAUUUACUACUUGAAUCAUUUUUUCAAGCCAAGCAACCAAUCCGGAUCCAACCAUUUAUUCACUACUUGAAUCAUUUUUUCAAGCCAAGCAACCAAUCCGGAUCCAACCAUUUAUUUACUACUUGAAUCAUUUUUUCAAGCCAAGCAACCAAUCCGGAUCCAACCAUUUAUUCACUACUUGAAACAUUUUUUCAAGCCAAGCAAUCAAUCCGGACUCAACCAUUUAUUUACUACUUGAAUCAUUUUUUCAAGCCAAGCAACCAAUCCGGAUUCAAUCAUUUAUUCAUUACUUGAAUUAUUUUUUCAAGGAGAGAAUUCUCCAAGCAACUAAUCCGGAUAUAAGCAAACAAUCCGGAUCCAAUCAUUUAUUCACUACUUGAAACAUUUUUUCAAGCCAAGCAACCAAUCCGGACUCAAUCAUUUAUUUACUACUUGAAACAUUUUUUCAAGCCAAGCAACCAAUCCGGACUCAACCAUUUAUUUACUACUUGAAUCAUUUUUUCAAGCCAAGCAACCAAUCCGGAUCCAACCAUUUAUUCACUACUUGAAACAUUUUUUCAAGCCAAGCAACCAAUCCGGAUCCAACCAUAUAUUCACUACUUGAAACAUUUUUUUUCAAGCCAAGCAACCAAUCCGGACUCAACCAUUUAUUUACUACUUGAAUCAUUUUUUCAAGCCAAGCAACCAAUCCGGAUCCAACCAUUUAUUCACUACUUGAAACAUUUUUUCAAGCCAAGCAAUCAAUCCGGAUCCAACCAUUUAUUUACUACUUGAAUCAUUUUUUCAAGCCAAGCAACCAAUCCGGAUUCAAUCAUUUAUUCAUUACUUGAAUUAUUUUUUCAAGGAGAGAAUUCUCCAAGCAACCAAUCCGGAUAUAAGGAAUCAAUCCGGAUUCAACCAUUUAUUUAUUACUUGAAUUAUUUUUUCAAGGAGAGAAUUCUCCAAGCAACUAAUCCGGAUAUAAGCAAACAAUCCGGAUCCAAUCAUUUAUUCACUACUUGAAACAUUUUUUCAAGCCAAGCAACCAAUCCGGACUCAAUCAUUUAUUUACUACUUGAAACAUUUUUUCAAGCCAAGCAACCAAUCCGGACUCAACCAUUUAUUUACUACUUGAAUCAUUUUUUCAAGCCAAGCAACCAAUCCGGAUCCAACCAUUUAUUCACUACUUGAAACAUUUUUUCAAGCCAAGCAACCAAUCCGGACUCAACCAUUUAUUUACUACUUGAAACAUUUUUUCAAGCCAAGCAACCAAUCCGGACUCAACCAUUUAUUUACUACUUGAAUCAUUUUUUCAAGCCAAGCAACCAAUCCGGAUCCAACCAUUUAUUCACUACUUGAAACAUUUUUUCAAGCCAAGCAAUCAAUCCGGACUCAACCAUUUAUUUACUACUUGAAUCAUUUUUUCAAGCCAAGCAACCAACCCGGAUUCAAUCAUUUAUUCAUUACUUGAAUUAUUUUUUCAAGGAGAGAAUUCUCCAAGCAACCAACCCGGAUAUAAGCAACCAAUCCGGAUUCAAUCAUUUAUUCAUUACUUGAAUUAUUUUUUCAAGGAGAGAAUUCUCCAAGCAACCAAUCCGGAUAUAAGCAACCAAUCCGGACUCAACCAUUUAUGUACUACUUGAAAUAUUUUUUAAAGGCAAGAAUUCUUCAAGCAACCAAUCCGGACUCAACCAUUUAUGUACUACUUGAAAUAUUUUUUCAAGCCAAGGAACCGAUCCAGAGUAUAAUACUAUAUUGUACUUACAAUUACCAUUCUACAAGUGACCAAUACCGGACCCAGCUAUCCACCUAAGGCAAGGAUUUAUUCAACAGCCAAAUCGGGUUACUUCCCAAUUAUUACUUGGAAAAAUAUUCCAAGGCAAGAGGAGCAGCAGAAAAGAGGUCUAGCAUGAUCCGGACUCGCUUCACACAUCUAAGACGCAAAAACUCUUUCAAAAGAGAUUGGAUAACCCGGACCCUGCAUUAUCACUACCAACCUGCCAAGCUAUCCAGAUCAUAUGACAAAAAAGAAAAAUAAAAUACAAGCCCGAACCGGAAACGCAAUAGCUAUAAUCAAACAAAAACAGCAAUCAAGAAAGCAAACAACAACUAAUGAAGCAAAAGGUCAUCAAGAUUACGCCCAAGUAACAGAUCCAGUCCGGAACACAACCGACCCAAGCAGAAACAAGUUCAAGACUACAAAGAAAACAAGUUCAGGUUUACAAAAGAGAGAAUGCGCUAAACCAAGACAAAGCAAAAGAUAGAACUAUCCGGCGGUCGAAUCCUGAACGACAAGAUGAUCCAGACCGAUAUCUUGGUCCAACUCCUUGGGAAGAAAGCUAGGAGUAGGCCCAUCAAAUGGUUCCGGCUCCCCAAGACCCUUUUCGAGGUCCUCCUUAGCCUUGACAUAUAAGCCACAAAAGCUAUCGAAGCAUGCCUCUGGGUCAGACUUGAUAUGUCUCUCGGCCACAGUCCAACAAUGUAUGAUCUCGGUUGCCCCAGCAUCGGCCAAAGCACGGUCAUACUCAUCAGACUCCUGGAACUCGGAAAUCACCACUGCAGGCUCUUUCCUCUCAGCAAGCUGUGGCUUCAGACUCUCGAUCUCGGUCUCAAACUCGGACAUCCGAGUCUCAGCUGCCUUCAACUUCUCGCCCAAAUCGUCAACUGAGGACUUGGCCAAUUUCAGAUCCGUGUCCAAAGUUGUGAUCCGGAUAUCCUUAUCAUCCGAAGCCGCCUUCUCCUCCCUCAGUUGGUUUGAGCUCAGGGCAACCAUCCCAGCAAUUGCAAUGCCCAUCUGAAAAAUUCAAAUCCCCACAUUUCAGCAACAAAAACAGAAAAGAAUAGUUAAACAACUAAAGUUGAUACACUCACCUGACCCCAAACCGCAGCAGCUUUCCUGUACAUUCCCACCGUUCCGGAUCCCCCCCUCUUAUCAUCCACUUGAUGCCAUUCGGGGUUAUCUGCAUUGGUGAACACUUAUACACAUAUUUACACAAGUGUUUGAAGAGGAGGUGCCACCGGGGGUUCCACCCGGACCUAAGAUGUUCUAACCAAACGGGAACGAACCCAUCAGCCGGUUUAUGAUAAAUUCUUUCCCCCGGCUUAGGCCAUCCCCACUCUAUCUCUGGACCUAGCUGGAAAGCAGACCUCACCACGAUGUCCAUCUCCUCCUUAGGCAAGGAAGUGAGACUCUCCUUCAGAGGAUAGGGGGCCCGGACCAUAGCGAACUCUGCAAACCUAGAAUCAACGUCCUCCUUAUCAUAAGGACCAGGAUCCCCAUCCGGAUGCCUAUCACGAUACAACCUACUCAAAUCCCGAAAGUAUCGGGUGUCGGGAACAUCCGGAGCCUUCUUCACAAAGUGAUAAUUACUAUCUGUCCAACAACCAUCCGGAGUGAACAACACCUGUCUAUUCGAAACCUCCUUCACAGAAAAUCUCUUUGACAAAACAGCAGCCCGGGGCACGGUUGGAGGACUCGGAUCCCCCCCUCUUAGCUGACUCCUUUGUCCGGACCAUACACCUACAUACAACAACCCAUUCCGAACCUACCACUCCAAUCCAGACUCAUGCGGAACAAAACAAAACAAAAACAAGCAAAUAUUCGACAGGAGCAAACAAAACCAAAAAACCAAGUCCGAACUCGCCAGCCCGACCCCAACCAAACUCAUACACACUGACAACCAAAAAACAAAAAGCUCCCAUUUAUCACACAAGAAUCCCAAAAGCCAACCGCCAACAUACAUAUUCGACAGCAAGAUUAAACCACUAUAAACUAGAAAGCCAAUCCAUACGCAACUCAGUUCUGACUCAGAAGUUCAAAAACGCUAGUCCGAGCCCACCAGUCGAGACUGACAAAAAACAAAAGGAAAAACAACAGCCUAUGCAUGUGUGCAACCCGGACUCCCGACACACAACCCGGACCUAUAAGCAAACACACUAGCUUUUAUCUAUACAUACACACAGAGAAAACUAAAAGAAUAAACCAACACCCAGUCCGGACCUACUGCCAGGAUCCAGACUCAUGCGGACGACCAUUCACAAACCCAUACAAACACAAAACCAAAAACAUGACUACUGUUCACACAACACCCCAAAAUCACAGAUUGCCGAACCCAGAAAAACGAAAACGCAGCAACCAAAAGAAACCAACUGAGCAAAACUGGGUCUCCUCGGUGAAUUUAAACUCGCUACAACUGAGCAAGAUCAGCCCAAAACAACUCGAAAAUAAUCUGCCAAACUCGGUGAGAGUACAAGACUCGGCACAUUCAAAACCCAGACUCAAGAAAGCAAGUCACGACUGGAAUUAUGUAUUAACAAAACUCAGCAGCACAAGACUUAAAACCAGCUACUCAGACUCACAAACACGGCGAACAGAACAUAAACAUAUGGAGCAUAGCUUUCAAACAUCAACCCGGACUCACAACAAGUAUCCAGACCUCAUUCUUGAACGAGUAUAUCUCAUAUUUUUGUCCGCAAAGUUUUCAAAAAGAAGAAAAGUCAAGUGGAAAGCAAAUAGCAUAAGCCAAGAGCAAUAUUCAACCUGGACCUCGUUUUCGGUCCUGGACCCAUCACACUAGUCCCGAUCCUGGGAUUCAAAAAGAAAAAAGACAUCGCCUCCUGAUUGAUCCGGACCCCGUUUGUGGUCCUGGACCCAAGCCGAGGUCAGCCAAGAGCAAUAUUCGACCUGGACCUCGUUUUCGGUCCUGGACCCAUCACACUAGUCCCGGACCUGGGAUUCAAAAAGAAAAAAGACAUCGCCUCCUGAUUGAUCCGGACCCCGUUUGUGGUCCUGGACCCAAGCCUAGGUCAGCCAAGAGCAAUAUUCAACCUGGACCUCGUUUUCGGUCCUGGACCCAUCACACUAGUCCCGGACCUGGGAUUCAAAAAGAAAAAAGACAUCGCCUCCUGAUUGAUCCGGACCCCGUUUGUGGUCCUGGACCCAAGCCGAGACCUCGGCUCUUCAAAAAAGCAAACAGCAGAAGUGUUAAAGGAAAUAACGCCAAAAAUACGCCUCACGAGCCCACAAAGGGAAAGUCCAAGCUAAUCCAGAUCAAGGCCCUACAAAAUUCUGAUCUGCUACUUGGCUUCAUUCCCGAACAACGAGUACAGACUCAUUCGCAUUUCGCCUGGUUAGGACGAAUUCUUCGUACCCGAACAUAUUCGAACAUCGCAGAGGAUUAUCAAAUCAACCCGAACUACGCCGACAACAAAAACCCACCUCUAGUCUGGAUCCAUCAAGCCUCGGGAUCAAGAACAAAAAUCACACCCCGGACAAGGGGGGGAAAACAAAAACUGCACCCUCUCCGCAAUCAGCCCGGACCGAACACAACACUCUACUCCCUNCAAACGUGCUCAGUAUAUCCCGUUUAGAGCAGGGUCUGAAGAGGGUAAAAUAUACGCAGAACAUGCCUCUACCCUUAAAGUAGAGAGGCUGUUUCCGUGAGACCCCCGGCUUAGUGCAUAAUAAAUAAAAUUGUGUGUGAUACAAUAUAACUAUAAUACCUUAGCCCAUGGCCUUCUUCACAUGGGACUUACUUAAAAAUUUCUCAAGGUAUAACCCGGAUCCAAGCACUACAUGACCCGGAGAUGAUCCCGGACCCAGGAGAUGAUCCCGGACCCAGGAGAUGAUCCCGGACCCCGGAGAUGACCCGGACCCAAGACACGAUCCUAGACUUCGGAGAUGAUCCGGACCCAGGAGAUGAUCUCGGACUCAGACACAACCAGUCCAUCCCUCUCCCGGACCAGCACACGAUGAAUGGAAGGCCCAGGUGAUAGGGACAUAACAUGAACAACUACUGUCAAGAAACGACAAGCUGACACGGGGACACGUGUAAGGAUUCGAGACAUACAGGUGUAUGGCCAAGAUUCAGGUUUCCUACCCUUAAACCCUAAUCCUUGGCCUAUAAAUAGACCAAGGAUAAGAGGUUUAGGACUCUCUUCUUCUCUCUUCUCUACCUUAUGCCUCCACACUCAUAUUUCCCACAUAUACAUUCAGCAAACAUAAACACACAAGCAACCACACACCGCAACCACCAUACACACACCCUCUACAUUGAUAGAUAGCUCAUUUUCCGUCCGACUACUUUCGAGCCCGCUCUUACUCUCACGCCGGAGGCGCCUCGGGGUCCAAACCCCCCUCCGGCGUUGUUUUGCAGGCACCCAUCCAGCAGCUACACCGCAAGACGACGGAGCAAGGCGGAGAAAGGGCCGGAACGGGAUCUGGCGUUAUCACU